Molecule: ribosomal RNA, 810 nt
Filed under: Mycobacterium sp.
Lineage: Bacteria; Bacillati; Actinomycetota; Actinomycetes; Mycobacteriales; Mycobacteriaceae
Description: bacterial SSU rRNA
Rfam family: Bacterial small subunit ribosomal RNA
Source: RNAcentral
UGAGUAACACGUGGGUGAUCUACCCUGCACUUCGGGAUAAGCCUGGGAAACUGGGUCUAAUACCGGAUAGGACCAUGAGAUGCAUGUCUUAUGGUGGAAAGCUUUUGCGGUGUGGGAUGGGCCCGCGGCCUAUCAGCUUGUUGGUGGGGUGACGGCCUACCAAGGCGACGACGGGUAGCCGGCCUGAGAGGGUGUCCGGCCACACUGGGACUGAGAUACGGCCCAGACUCCUACGGGAGGCAGCAGUGGGGAAUAUUGCACAAUGGGCGCAAGCCUGAUGCAGCGACGCCGCGUGGGGGAUGACGGCCUUCGGGUUGUAAACCUCUUUCAGCAGGGACGAAGCGCAAGUGACGGUACCUGCAGAAGAAGCACCGGCCAACUACGUGCCAGCAGCCGCGGUAAUACGUAGGGUGCGAGCGUUGUCCGGAAUUACUGGGCGUAAAGAGCUCGUAGGUGGUUUGUCGCGUUGUUCGUGAAAACCGGGGGCUUAACCCUCGGCGUGCGGGCGAUACGGGCAGACUGGAGUACUGCAGGGGAGACUGGAAUUCCUGGUGUAGCGGUGGAAUGCGCAGAUAUCAGGAGGAACACCGGUGGCGAAGGCGGGUCUCUGGGCAGUAACUGACGCUGAGGAGCGAAAGCGUGGGGAGCGAACAGGAUUAGAUACCCUGGUAGUCCACGCCGUAAACGGUGGGUACUAGGUGUGGGUUUCCUUCCUUGGGAUCCGUGCCGUAGCUAACGCAUUAAGUACCCCGCCUGGGGAGUACGGCCGCAAGGCUAAAACUCAAAGGAAUUGACGGGGGGCCCGCACAA